CGAACUAUAGCCGGUGACCGAAGUGGCCGCCAUUACGGUCUUCCGUUCGACAUUGAAUCGCAUCCCGAGCAUUGUCUACGCAUUCUUGCGAUUCCUCGGGUGUCUACGCCGACAAGAGGAGCACGACUCGACCAACUCCACGGAAUUCGUCCUAAUAAAUCUAAUUCCUACGGACCCGUUAGAUUCGAAACUCUUGUCCCUCAAUUUCUGAAGAUCCACCAGCUUUGCAACCCUAAAUCUCAAACAUCUAACCUGCCACCCACUGAUCAAAGAAUAUACGAGGCUCCUUAGCUACAAAUGUGGCAUGAUACUCACUUGUCCUGGCAGGAAGCAGGCAAACCAUGAACAGGCAUAGAAUAGAGGUGAGGAUCCUCGAGAGAUGGCUCGAAGAUCUCUUCAUGGUCCUCGGUGGAGGGUCGCUGAAAGGCGAAGGUGGAUCCUCUGCGAGGAUUCGCAGCCCGUGGAUGAUACGUAGCCCGCGGAAAGCCGACUGUGACUAUUCCAGCAACCACCGUCCACGUACUGCAGCCAGGAGCGUGGUAUCUGGACGACAGAAAUCAGUAUAACACCGUUUCCCUAACGCGGUCGGGAUCAAACUCGCGUAGGACUCCCUUGAUUGGCUCUAACGCGGGAUAAUUGCGUCGCGGCCAAGCCCGGACGACCUUAACCGCUUGAUUGCCCGUAAAUGACGCGCAUUAUCGCCAGGAUUCUUUCGAGAUUAGGCUCGUCGGCGUCUUCGCGAACGGACUGCGCCGUAACGUGUGCCGGAAACCGUGACCCAGAACCGAGAACUAAUCGAGAAACGAUAUCGAUGGAAGAUCCCCGCUUGUUGCGAUUAUUCUGCGCUAUUGUAUCCUAAUAUAGGCCUUCUGCUAUAGUCUUGAAUUUUUAUCGCUUCAAUUAGGGAAGUAUCAGAGGCUUUCGUUGAUCUUCGUGCCGAGUAUACCGGUUCGUAAGUAUGAACGAACGUGUUUUGCUUGUUUAGUAAAUAUAUGAACGUUGUUUCUCACUA
Megalopta genalis is the source of this 1012-nucleotide non-coding RNA. NCBI's taxonomy places the organism in Eukaryota, Metazoa, Arthropoda, Insecta, Hymenoptera, Halictidae. The record is from RefSeq and is a predicted model, not a curated record.